AUCGCACUCGUCGAGAACAAUGCGCGGCUGGCGGCGGAAAUCGCCGUGGCACUGGCGGACUGAGCCGCCGGUCGGGGGUGCCAUGCCCUUGUGUGAGGC
RNAcentral lists this transfer RNA (99 nucleotides) under Shinella yambaruensis. Its description in RNAcentral is "tRNA-Phe". The record is from RNAcentral. Lineage: Bacteria; Pseudomonadati; Pseudomonadota; Alphaproteobacteria; Hyphomicrobiales; Rhizobiaceae.